This 421-nucleotide ribosomal RNA is filed under the name uncultured bacterium. RNAcentral's name for it is "bacterial SSU rRNA". It matches the Rfam family "Bacterial small subunit ribosomal RNA", at positions 355 to 774 of the family's 1533-position model. The record is from RNAcentral.
UAAGGAAUAUUGGUCAAUGGACGCAAGUCUGAACCAGCCAUGCCGCGUGAAGGAUGAAGGUCCUCUGGAUUGUAAACUUCUUUUAUCUGGGACGAAAACGGGAUUUUUAUCUCAAUUGACGGUACCAGAGGAAUAAGCACCGGCUAACUCCGUGCCAGCAGCCGCGGUAAUACGGAGGGUGCGAGCGUUAUCCGGAUUUACUGGGUUUAAAGGGUGCGUAGGUGGGCUUAUAAGUCAGUGGUGAAAUCUCCGAGCUUAACUUGGAAACUGCCGUUGAUACUAUAGGUCUUGAAUUAUCUGGAGGUAAGCGGAAUAUGUCAUGUAGCGGUGAAAUGCUUAGAUAUGACAUAGAACACCAAUUGCGAAGGCAGCUUACUACAUAUAAAUUGACGCUGAGGCACGAGAGCGUGGGGAUCAAACA